This 639-nucleotide ribosomal RNA is filed under the name uncultured Aciditerrimonas sp. RNAcentral's name for it is "bacterial SSU rRNA". It matches the Rfam family "Bacterial small subunit ribosomal RNA", at positions 232 to 885 of the family's 1533-position model. The record is from RNAcentral. Lineage: Bacteria; Bacillati; Actinomycetota; Acidimicrobiia; Acidimicrobiales; Acidimicrobiaceae.
CGCGGCCUAUCAGCUUGUUGGUGAGGUAACGGCUCACCAAGGCUACGACGGGUAGCUGGUCUGAGAGGACGAUCAGCCACACUGGGACUGAGACACGGCCCAGACUCCUACGGGAGGCAGCAGUAGGGAAUCUUGCGCAAUGGGGGAAACCCUGACGCAGCGACGCCGCGUGCGGGAUGACGGCCCUAGGGUUGUAAACCGCUUUCAGCAGGGACGAAACUGACGGUACCUGCAGAAGAAGGCCCGGCCAACUACGUGCCAGCAGCCGCGGUAAUACGUAGGGGCCAAGCGUUGUCCGGAAUCAUUGGGCGUAAAGAGCUCGUAGGCGGUUUGGUAAGUCGGAUGUGAAAUCUCCACGCUCAACGUGGAGCGGCCAUCCGAUACUGCCAUGACUUGAGUCCGGUAGAGGAGUGUGGAAUUCCCGGUGUAGCGGUGAAAUGCGCAGAUAUCGGGAGGAACACCAGUAGCGAAGGCGACACUCUGGGCCGGUACUGACGCUGAGGAGCGAAAGCGUGGGGAGCGAACAGGAUUAGAUACCCUGGUAGUCCACGCCGUAAACGUUGGGCACUAGGUGUGGGGCUCUAUCGACGAGUUCCGUGCCGUAGCUAAGGCAUUAAGUGCCCCGCCUGGGGAGUACGG